CCCUGGCGGCGAGCGGCGAACGGGUGAGUAAUGCAUCGGAACGUAUCCUCAAGUGGGGGAUAACCCAGCGAAAGUUGGGCUAAUACCGCAUGAGCUCUGAGGAGGAAAGCGGGGGACCGUAAGGCCUCGCGCUYGUGGAGCGGCCGAUGUCCGAUUAGCUAGUUGGUGGGGUAAAGGCUCACCAAGGCGACGAUCGGUAGCUGGUCUGAGAGGAUGAUCAGCCACACUGGGACUGAGACACGGCCCAGACUCCUACGGGAGGCAGCAGUGGGGAAUUUUGGACAAUGGGGGCAACCCUGAUCCAGCCAUGCCGCGUGAGUGAAGAAGGCCUUCGGGUUGUAAAGCUCUUUCGGACGGAACGAAAUGGUUACGGUCAAUACCCGUGACUGAUGACGGUACCGUAAGAAGAAGCACCGGCUAACUACGUGCCAGCAGCCGCGGUAAUACGUAGGGUGCGAGCGUUAAUCGGAAUUACUGGGCGUAAAGCGUGCGCAGGCGGUUUCGUAAGCUGGAGGUGAAAUCCCCGGGCUUAACCUGGGAAUGGCCUUCAGGACUGCGAGGCUAGAGUGCGGCAGAGGGAGGUGGAAUUCCACGUGUAGCAGUGAAAUGCGUAGAUAUGUGGAGGAACACCGAUG
RNAcentral lists this ribosomal RNA (635 nucleotides) under uncultured Nitrosomonadaceae bacterium. RNAcentral describes it as "bacterial SSU rRNA". It matches the Rfam family "Bacterial small subunit ribosomal RNA", at positions 83 to 714 of the family's 1533-position model. Lineage: Bacteria; Pseudomonadati; Pseudomonadota; Betaproteobacteria; Nitrosomonadales; Nitrosomonadaceae. The record is from RNAcentral.